AAGUCGUAACAAGGUUUCCGUAGGUGAACCUGCGGAAGGAUCAUUAAUGAUUGGCCCUCGGUGGCCCUAUCACCCCCAUCCACACACCUCUGUGAACUGUCGGCCCUCGGGUCGUUUACAAAACAUCGUGUAACGAACGUAUCACAUAGAAACAUAAAACAACUUUCAACAACGGAUCUCUUGGCUCUCGCAUCGAUGAAGAACGCAGCGAAAUGCGAUAAGUAAUGUGAAUUGCAGAAUUCAGUGAAUCAUCGAAUCUUUGAACGCACCUUGCGCCUUUUGGUAUUCCGAAAGGCAUGCCUGUUUGAGUGUCAUGAAAACUCAAUCCCCUCGGGUUUUUGACCUGAUCGGACUUGGACUUGGGUGUUUGCCAGCUAAUGGCUCACCUGAAAAGACUUAGUGGGAAAAGCGCCAAUGGCUCAGACGUAAUAAGUUUCGUCUGGCUUGGUGCGAUCGCCUGCUCACAACAAACCACAUCUUUUGACUCUGACCUCAAAUCAGGUAGGGCUACCCGCUGAACUUAAGCAUAUCAAUAAGCGGAGGAAAAGAAACUAACAAGGAUUCCCUUAGUAACGGCGAGUGAACCGGGAAGAGCUCAAAUUUGUAAUCUGGCGUCCUCCGGGCGUCCGAGUUGUAAUCUAUAGAAGCGUUUUCCGUGCUGGACCGUGUCCAAGUCCCUUGGAACAGGGUAUCAAAGAGGGUGACAAUCCCGUACUUGACACGACGACCGGUGCCCUGUGAUACGCUUUCUACGAGUCGAGUUGUUUGGGAAUGCAGCUCAAAAUGGGUGGUGAGUUCCAUCUAAAGCUAAAUAUUGGCGAGAGACCGAUAGCGAACAAGUACCGUGAGGGAAAGAUGAAAAGCACUUUGGAAAGAGAGUUAAACAGUACGUGAAAUUGUUGAAAGGGAAACGAUUGAAGUCAGUCGUGUCUGGAAGGUUCAGCCGGCUCUGCCGGUGUACUCCCUCCAGACGGGUCAACAUCAGUUUGGAUCGGUGGAUAAGGAUGGCAGGAAUGUGCCACCUCCGGGUGCGUUAUAGCCUGUUGUCGGAUACACUGAUCCAGACUGAGGAAUGCAGCUCGCCUUCAUGGCCGGGGUUCGCCCACGUCCGAGCUUAGGAUGUUGACAUAAUGGCUUUAAACGACC
Molecule: ribosomal RNA, 1146 nt
Filed under: uncultured fungus
Lineage: Eukaryota; Fungi
Description: eukaryotic LSU rRNA
Rfam family: Eukaryotic large subunit ribosomal RNA (bases 488-1146)
Source: RNAcentral